Molecule: ribosomal RNA, 500 nt
Filed under: uncultured bacterium
Lineage: Bacteria
Description: partial 16S ribosomal RNA
Rfam family: Bacterial small subunit ribosomal RNA
Source: RNAcentral
AUUGAACGCUGGCGGAAUGCUUUACACAUGCAAGUCGAACGGGAGCACGGACUUCGGUCUGGUGGCGAGUGGCGAACGGGGGAGUAAUACAUCGGAACGUGCCCAGUCGUGGGGGAUAACGUAGCGAAAGCUACGCUAAUACCGCAUACGAUCUGAGGAUGAAAGCGGGGGAUCGCAAGAACUCGCGCGAUUGUAUCGGCGGAUGGCAGAUGAGGUAGUUGGUAGGGUAAAGGCCUACCAAGCCGACGAUCUGUAGCUGGUCUGAGAGGAUGAUCAGCCACACUGGGACUGAGACACGGCCCAGACUCCUACGGGAGGCAGCAGUGGGGAAUUUUGGACAAUGGGCGCAAGCCUGAUCCAGCCAUUCCGCGUGCAGGAUGAAGGCCUUCGGGUUGUAAACUGCUUUUGUACAGAACGAAAAGGCUCUGGUUAAUACCCGGGGCUCAUGACGGUACUGUAAGAAUAAGCACCGGCUAACUACGUGCCAGCCGCCGCGGUAA